Molecule: long non-coding RNA, 1223 nt
Organism: Chenopodium quinoa (quinoa)
Lineage: Eukaryota; Viridiplantae; Streptophyta; Magnoliopsida; Caryophyllales; Amaranthaceae
Exons: 2
Source: RefSeq, a predicted model, not a curated record
CAGACAUGAGAAAUAUCUCGGUAUUCCUAUUGUUGUAGAUGGAUCAAAAAAGGCAGUAUUUGAAGCCCUUCUUGAUAGAGGGUAAAACACUAGUUGAAUAAACUAUAUAGGCAGCCCCAAAGGCAUCGAUUAUUGAAUUCCUCUUCUAAAAACACCCAUAAAAAAACAAAAAUAAGCAAAUGGCAAGCGGUUUUAGGUGAACCGCUUGAAAAAAUGCAAAUGACAAGCGGUUUGAACAUUGAACCGCUUCCCAUUUGCUAAAAAACCCUAAAAAUUAAAACUUAUCUCAUUUAUCACGCUCUCUCUCUCCUCUAAGCCUCAUUUCUCACACAUUCUCUCCUCUCACGCCUCAUUCUCUCUCUUCUCUCUCCUCUCUCCUCUCCCUUCCAUUUCUCACGCCUCACUUCUCUCCUCUCAUUCUUUCUUCUUUAUCAUUUCUUCAUUAUCAUUUUUUCACAUCUCAUUCUUUCUUCAUUUUUUCUUCAUUGUCAUUUCUCACGCCUCAUUCUUUCUUUAUUUUUUCUCCAUACUCCAAAAUCCAUUUUUUCUCCAUACAACAACAACAACAAGGUUUCGGGUUCGACUACGCAUAUUUGGAGUUCAAUAUUGUGGGUCUGGGUUCAGAUUUUUAGGUUUCAAUUUUAAUUUUUAUUUUGAUUUCGAUUUUGUGGGUUUCAAUUUUAAUUUUGUGGGUUGUUAUUUCGAUUUUGUGGGUUUCGAUUUCGAUUUUGUGGGUUCCAAUUUUAAUUUUGUGGGUUCCGAUUUCGAUUUUGUGUAUUUCAAUUUCGAUUUUGUGGGUUUCGAUUUUAAUUUUAUAAAGUUCGAUUUGUGGGUUUCAAAAUCUAACAAACACUAGCAGGUGGUGGUGCGUGUGGGUUUUCAUGUUUUUUAGGUCAAAUUCAACCUUUAAAACUCAAAUUUCAAGCCAAUUUUUGAGGUUUUGGUGGAAUUCAAGGCAUAUCUGGUUUUGGUUGGGGUUUUGGUGGGGUCGUGGUGGGUAAGAUGGGUUUAUUUUUGUUUUUGAAGGUGGGUUGAAGGAGGUUGGUGGUGGUGGUGAUACAAUUGGCGCUCGCGGCUAGUGGUGCGCAUGGCUGGUGGUGGAAUUGAAACAAGAGCAGCAACCAAUUUAUCAAUUUAUUUACUGUUUUUUUUUUUUUUUUUGAUGAAAAUCAGAAAAUGUAAUAUUAAAACAAGUGAUUAAUGAAAAUAUUUAUGUUUAUACA